AUAUAUAUAUAUAUAUAUAUAUAUAUUAUUUAGGCUGAAUCCUAUAAUACAGUCUAAAGCUGUUAAUUGGACAAGCUGGUUAUUAGGACCAAAACAAUUGUGCCCUGAUGUAGUCCAAUUAAACAGAUUUGACAUAUAUAUAUUUAAAAAAAAACUUUUUGCAAUGGUUUCCUAACAAAAAGAAUUGUAACAUUAACAUGCUUGAAAUUAAUGUGGAGAGAAAGAAAAUGAAGAAACUUAUUUAAAAAACUUUAAAUGUUGUUCAUGAUUCUCUUGGGUUGGAAUUUUUU
Biomphalaria pfeifferi is the source of this 290-nucleotide non-coding RNA. NCBI's taxonomy places the organism in Eukaryota, Metazoa, Mollusca, Gastropoda, Planorbidae. The record is from the annotation of a GenBank genome assembly.